UUAUUAAUAUUAAAAGCAUUAUUGGAUCAACCGGAACCCAUUUCGAACUCAAGUGUUAAACAAUUUUGCGCCAAAGUUACUGCUUAACAGUGGGAAAUAUGGUUAAAAUAA
Molecule: ribosomal RNA, 111 nt
Filed under: Palpitomonas bilix
Lineage: Eukaryota
Source: RNAcentral